Molecule: ribosomal RNA, 424 nt
Filed under: uncultured archaeon
Lineage: Archaea
Description: partial 16S ribosomal RNA
Rfam family: Archaeal small subunit ribosomal RNA
Source: RNAcentral
CUACGGGUGGCUCCAGCUAGGAAACUUUUACAAUGCACGCAAGUGUGAUAGAGCAAGCCAGAGUGAUUCUCUAUAAUUGAGAAUCUUUUAUUCGAUGUAAAAAGUCGUAUGAAUAAGGACUGGGAAAGACUGGUGCCAGCCGCCGCGGUAAUACCAGCAGUUCAAGUAGCAGCCGCUUUUAUUGGGUCUAAAACAUCCGUAGCUCGCUUCGUAAGUCUUGUGUGAAAUCUGGCAUCUUAAGUGUCGGGCGCGCGCGAGAUACUGCGGAGCUCGGGACCGGGAGACGUAAGGAGUACGCACAGGGUAGCGGUCAAAUGCGUUGAUCCUGUGUGGACUAACGAUAGCGAAGGCACCUUACGAGAACGGAUCCGACAGUGAGGGAUGAAGGCCAGGGUCGCAAAACGGAUUAGAUACCCUCGUAGUC